This 465-nucleotide ribosomal RNA is filed under the name uncultured bacterium. RNAcentral describes it as "partial 16S ribosomal RNA". It matches the Rfam family "Bacterial small subunit ribosomal RNA", at positions 28 to 507 of the family's 1533-position model. The record is from RNAcentral.
GACGAACGCUGGCGGCGUGCUUAACACAUGCAAGUCGAACGGAAAGGCCCUGCUUGCAGGGUACUCGAGUGGCGAACGGGUGAGUAACACGUGGGUGAUCUGCCCUGCACUUCGGGAUAAGCCUGGGAAACUGGGUCUAAUACCGGAUAGGAGCCAUUUUUAGUGUGAUGGUUGGAAAGUUUUUUCGGUGUAGGAUGAGCUCGCGGCCUAUCAGCUUGUUGGUGGGGUAAUGGCCUACCAAGGCGGCGACGGGUAGCCGGCCUGAGAGGGUGGACGGCCACAUUGGGACUGAGAUACGGCCCAGACUCCUACGGGAGGCAGGAGUGGGGAAUAUUGCACAAUGGGCGCAAGCCUGAUGCAGCGACGCCGCGUGGGGGAUGACGGCCUUCGGGUUGGAAACUCCUUUCGCUAGGGACGAAGCUUUUUGUGACGGUACCUAGAGAAGAAGCACCGGCUAACUACGUG